CAGCCGCCGCGGGAAAACGUAGGGUGCAAGCGUUAAUCGGAAUUACUGGGCGUAAAGCGUGCGCAGGCGGUUUGUUAAGACAGAUGUGAAAUCCCCGGGCUCAUCCUGGGGGCUGCGUUUGAUACUUGAUUGCUAGAGUGGGGAGGAGGGUCGUGGAAUUCCCAGUGUAGAGGUGAAAUUCGUAGAUAUUCGGAAGAACACCAGUGGCGAAGGCGGCUCACUGGCUCAUUCUAGACGCUGAGGUGCGAAAGCGUGGGGAGCAAACAGGAUUAGAUACCCCCGUAGUCCCUGUCUCUUAUAC
Molecule: ribosomal RNA, 301 nt
Filed under: uncultured bacterium
Lineage: Bacteria
Description: partial 16S ribosomal RNA
Rfam family: Bacterial small subunit ribosomal RNA
Source: RNAcentral